GUGGUGCUCGGCGAGCACGACAUCGAGCUUCCGGCGGGCGAGGCGGCCGAGUUCGACACCCGGGUACCGCAC
This 72-nucleotide transfer RNA is filed under the name Actinoplanes digitatis. RNAcentral's name for it is "tRNA-Arg". Lineage: Bacteria; Bacillati; Actinomycetota; Actinomycetes; Micromonosporales; Micromonosporaceae. The record is from RNAcentral.